RNAcentral lists this non-coding RNA (150 nucleotides) under bovine gut metagenome. The record is from RNAcentral.
UUGGGUGUCGAGAGACUUAAUAGAAAAGCCGGUUGAAGGCCGGCGCGGUCCCGCCACUGUAUCAGGGAGCAACUUUGCAAUAGUCCACUGGGGAAAGCCUUGGGAAGGCGCAGAGAAGCGAUGAACUGGAGCCAGGAGAACUGCCCGAUU